Molecule: long non-coding RNA, 306 nt
Filed under: Bos taurus (domestic cattle)
Lineage: Eukaryota; Metazoa; Chordata; Mammalia; Artiodactyla; Bovidae
Description: long non-coding RNA NONBTAT005543
Source: RNAcentral
AACCAAGAAACUAGUUACUGUUUUUCUUUAAGCCAGGCUGCCCAGCUCCACGGAAGAGUUUGAGACCUUCUCUCCCUUGGGUGCCCCACGCCAAUGGCUCCCCAUCCCUCUCCAGCCUCAAGUCCAAAGUGGGGAUGACAUGCCAUCUCUUAGGUACAUUGAGAAUCAGCGUCCUGGGCUGUGGCACCUCUUAUUUGCAGGAGGAAACACACACACGCUUCCCGUGAGCCAUCAUGAUUCUGAGGUGUACGGAAACAUUAACCUUCUCGUUCAUAUCUCUCCCAUCUCCCAAGGUGUGCAGCUCCU